Molecule: non-coding RNA, 269 nt
Organism: Euryarchaeota archaeon RBG_16_68_13
Lineage: Archaea; Methanobacteriati; Methanobacteriota
Source: Rfam
GCGUUGAUGCCUGAGGGGAAGGUCCCUUAAGUACGAGAGGAACGGGGGAUCGGCGCCUCUAGUGUAUGGGUUGUCUGGCAAGGCAUUGCCCAGCAGCCACGCGCUAUGCGGAUAACGGCUGAAAGCAUCUAAGCCGGAAACCGCCCUCAAGACGAGGCAUCUUACCGCCGCCAUAUUCGAUGGCGUCGAUAGAGCGGGGGUGUACGCACGAAGCUCGCAAGGGCGACGUGUUCAGCCCGCCGCUACUAACCGCGGUAGCCACAUCAGCA